GCUCCAAUAGCGUAUAUUAAAGUUGUUGCAGUUAAAAAGCUCGUAGUUGGACCUUAGGCAAGGCGGCCUGGUCACCUCUGGGUGUACUGGGAUCGCUGCGCCUCACCUCGGGGAGCUAGUCGUGCUUCGGUGCGCUAGGGAACCGAGCCUUACCUUGAGGAAAUUAGAGUGUUUAAAGCAGGCUUAUGCUUGAAUACGUU
Molecule: ribosomal RNA, 200 nt
Filed under: uncultured eukaryote
Lineage: Eukaryota
Description: partial 18S ribosomal RNA
Rfam family: Eukaryotic small subunit ribosomal RNA
Source: RNAcentral